GAUAAUAUUACUGAAUAUGAUCCAGAUGUAGUAUCUGAUAAAAAUUUUGCUUUUUUUAUGAAACCUACCGACAUAAAAAAAAUCAAUGCUUGAAGCUAGAAUAAAACAGAUUUUAUUUGUUUGAAAGUAGAGGGUGUUUAUUUUAAUGUAUUGCGUGUUCAGAUAUUCAUACAACUAAAUAUUCUGGGGGCCAUGCAAUUUUAGUGAAAAUCAGCGAAAACGCUGGCGGGGAAAGAGUUAAUGUUAUUCAAUGGAGCUGAGAUAACAUGAACUAACAAUCAACAACUUAUCAAAGAUUAAUAAAUGCUGAGUCACGUAUUGCUCGUUGUUAAUGUUAGUGAAUGCAUUAAUUUAUAGGACCUUACUGUGAAGCUAGUUUUAUGGUUUGAGCUGCUAACACUGAUGUUAAUGACAGCGUGUGUCUGUGAUCUCAGGGACGUUCGGGAAAGCGCCGUGGCGGCCGCAGCAGGAGCUCUGCGCUCAUAACGCCGUCAUCCUUCACGAGAAUCCGUACGCAGCGCUUCACGCCGACUCGGACCUGGACUCGGAGCGUGCGAGCGUUUACGAGCAGCCACUCGAUCACAGGACGAUAGAGAGCUUUCCCUCGUCACCGCUGGGCUCUUAGCGCCUUCGACAGGAGGACGACCAAAGACCAGAAACGCUCUACCUCAAGAAAGGAGCUGCGACUGAAUACGCUCUGGAACGAGGCUCCAUCAUCUCAGCUUCAGAUGAUGCCAGCGAGAGCUUCAGAAACACAAAGACAAUCAUCACGGCAGUAAUUCAGCGUUCUGUCAUCACUUACUUACUCAGAGACGCGUUUAAGAGACGUUCAGAAGGAUGUCCAAGCUGCUCUCUCACAAACACUGAAGGCUGAUGCUGAUUUAUACUGUAGAAGUACCAAGUCCAAAUUCCAAAAAAACAUUCUCUGACGAUCUUCCCCUCCUAUUGGAAUAGAUUUAUGGGCUAUAUGAUCAUGAUACUUUCAUUCAUUUAUUAUUUUUUUAAUUUAUCUUAUGAUAGUUUUUUUUGUCUUAUGAUAUUUAUAUUUUGAUAUGAUACUUUUUAAUUUGUUUCUAUGAUACAUUAAUGAUUUCAUCUUACUUUAAUUCGAUUUUUAUAUAUUUACCGUACUUGUGAUAUUUUUCUAGAAAAGUAAACUUUACAUCCUAUUUCAAGAUACUUUUAUUUUCACAUUAUACAUUUUUGAUACUUUUGAUAUAUAUAUAUAUAUAUAUAUAUAUAUAU
Long non-coding RNA from Cyprinus carpio (common carp), 1245 nucleotides. Lineage: Eukaryota; Metazoa; Chordata; Actinopteri; Cypriniformes; Cyprinidae. The record is from Ensembl.